GUGCUCACUAUGGCAGCACAUAUACUAAAAUUGGAACCAUACAGAGAUUAGCAUAGCCCCUGCGAAACAAAAAAACCAAACCAAAAACACCGGUUA
This is a small nuclear RNA of Macaca fascicularis (crab-eating macaque), 96 nucleotides long. Lineage: Eukaryota; Metazoa; Chordata; Mammalia; Primates; Cercopithecidae. The record is from Ensembl.